AACGCAAAUUGCACUCUCUGGUAUUCCGGGGAGUAUGCCUGUUUGAGGGUCAGUUUAAAUAAAAAUCGAGGUGUUGCUUUUUUUUUGUGACGCAUCGGAAUUGGGUUUUUAUCUUUUUGUCCUUCGGGAUUUUAAGAGACCUAAAAUUGAUUACCUUGUGCAUCUCAGACGUACAUAAGAAAUAUCUUUUUUUAUCCGUUCGGAAUGCCAACUUUUAUUAGGUAUGACCAUGUUAUUCUUGUGGUAAUCGUACCUAUAACAUAAUAUCAUAUUUUGACCUCAAAUCAGGUAGGAGUACCCGCUGAACUUAA
RNAcentral lists this unclassified non-coding RNA (311 nucleotides) under uncultured fungus. RNAcentral's name for it is "partial contains 5.8S ribosomal RNA, internal transcribed spacer 2, and large subunit ribosomal RNA". The stretch from base 1 to 52 matches the Rfam family "5.8S ribosomal RNA", at positions 103 to 154 of the family's 154-position model. Lineage: Eukaryota; Fungi. The record is from RNAcentral.